RNAcentral lists this ribosomal RNA (468 nucleotides) under uncultured bacterium. RNAcentral's name for it is "bacterial SSU rRNA". It matches the Rfam family "Bacterial small subunit ribosomal RNA", at positions 335 to 795 of the family's 1533-position model. The record is from RNAcentral.
ACUCCUACGGGAGGCAGCAGUGGGGAAUUUUGGACAAUGGGUGAAAGCCUGAUCCAGCCAUUCCGCGUGCAGGAUGAAGGCCCUCGGGUUGUAAACUGCUUUUGUACAGAACGAAAAAGCUCCGGCUAAUACCUGGAGUCCAUGACGGUACUGUAAGAAUAAGCACCGGCUAACUACGUGCCAGCAGCCGCGGUAAUACGUAGGGUGCAAGCGUUAAUCGGAAUUACUGGGCGUAAAGCGUGCGCAGGCGGUUUUGUAAGACAGAGGUGAAAUCCCCGGGCUCAACCUGGGAACUGCCUUUGUGACUGCAAGGCUGGAGUGCGGCAGAGGGGGAUGGAAUUCCGCGUGUAGCAGUGAAACGCGUAGAUAUGCGGAGGAACACCGAUGGCGAAGGCAAUCCCCCGGGCCUGCACUGACGCUCAUGCACGAAAGCGUGGGGAGCAAACAGGAUUAGAUACCCUGGUAGUC